Mirounga angustirostris (Northern elephant seal) is the source of this 443-nucleotide long non-coding RNA. RefSeq lists it as uncharacterized. NCBI's taxonomy places the organism in Eukaryota, Metazoa, Chordata, Mammalia, Carnivora, Phocidae. The record is from RefSeq and is a predicted model, not a curated record. The transcript has 3 exons.
AGGUUCUCCUUCCGGCGUGCCGUAAACGUAACAACUCCUACGACGGAAGUGGCCCGCUGCGGACGGCAGGGCCGGUCAGGAACGUAAGGAGGGGAGGAGACUGCGCCGCCUGGGGAGAGGCCUGAGAAGAGGAGGAGAGGAGAUUGGGAAAAAGAACACCAGAACAUGGAUCUGCAGAUAAUAAAACACAUGAUAAUCAUGGCCUAGUUGACUUCAAUCAACUAUUGGAUAUGUGCAAAAAUGGAAAUGGUCAGCAAAGGAAUGCUGUCCUGAGUUUUUCACACAUCAGUAAUGUUUCCCACUGUGGCUUCUUCUUUACCAGUCCAGAUGGGGAAUCAUCAUUUGUGGACUUCAGAGGAAAAGGUAAUUAUAAAUUCAUUAGGCUUCCUGAAUAAAGAAGUGUAAUGUCUUCCAAGAAUAAUUAAACUACCGUGGGCAAAGAG